GUAAGAAUAUUCCGCAAUGGGGGGAACCCUGACGGAGCGACGCCGCGUGAACGAAGAAGGCCGGAAGGUUGUAAAGUUCUUUUCUGUUCGAGGAAUAAGUGUAGGAGGAAAUGCCUACAUGGUGACGGUAGGGCAGGAAUAAGCACCGGCUAAUUACGUGCCAGCAGCCGCGGUAACACGUAAGGUGCGAGCGUUGUUCGGAAUUAUUGGGCGUAAAGGGCAUGCAGGCGGGUCGCCAAGCUUGGUAAGAAAUACCGGGGCUCAACUCCGGAGCUAUAUUGAGAACUGGCGAGCUAGAGUUGCCGAAGGGUAUCCGGAAUUCCGCGUGAAGGGGUGAAAUCUGUAGAUAUGCGGAAGAACACCGAUGGCGAAGGCAGGAUACCGGCGGACGACUGACGCUGAGGUGCGAAGGUGCGGGGAGCAAACA
This 427-nucleotide ribosomal RNA is filed under the name uncultured Treponema sp. RNAcentral describes it as "bacterial SSU rRNA". It matches the Rfam family "Bacterial small subunit ribosomal RNA", at positions 355 to 774 of the family's 1533-position model. The record is from RNAcentral. Lineage: Bacteria; Pseudomonadati; Spirochaetota; Spirochaetia; Treponematales; Treponemataceae.